This 251-nucleotide long non-coding RNA is filed under the name Sinocyclocheilus grahami. RNAcentral's name for it is "lncRNA (ENSSGRG00000026129.1)". The record is from RNAcentral. Lineage: Eukaryota; Metazoa; Chordata; Actinopteri; Cypriniformes; Cyprinidae.
CUUUGGUCAAACUAAAGGUUAUUAUUUAUUAUUAUUAUUUUUUUGUAUAUGCUGUCACCAAUAUACGUCAUGCUCCACACUCCAGUCCAGUAGGUGGCGGAAAUGCACCUUUUAAGUGGGUUUGCCAACCGCCAUUAAAAAGAAAAGAAGAAGAAGAAGUAGAGGAGCUGCGUUUCAAUUGUUUGGCGCGCAGGUGGUUGACUGUGAGUAGAAGAACAAUCUCUGGUCUUGCCAUUCUUUUUCGUCAAUAA